GGAUGUAUAGCUUAGUUGGGUUUAAAGCAAUAAACUUUUAAUUUAUAGAUCUUAGGUUCAAGUCCUAAUACAUUCA
Molecule: transfer RNA, 76 nt
Filed under: Plocamium cartilagineum
Lineage: Eukaryota; Rhodophyta; Florideophyceae; Plocamiales; Plocamiaceae
Description: tRNA-Lys
Rfam family: tRNA
About the family: Transfer RNA (tRNA) molecules are approximately 80 nucleotides in length. Their secondary structure includes four short double-helical elements and three loops (D, anti-codon, and T loops).
Source: RNAcentral